GUCUAUGGCCAUGCCACCCUCAACGUUCCGGAUCUUGUCUGAUCUUGGAAGCUAAGCAGGGUCGGGCCUGGUUAGUACUUGGAUGGGAGGCCACUUUGGAAUACCAGGCGCUGUAGGCA
This 119-nucleotide ribosomal RNA is filed under the name Pteropus alecto (black flying fox). Lineage: Eukaryota; Metazoa; Chordata; Mammalia; Chiroptera; Pteropodidae. The record is from RNAcentral.